Molecule: ribosomal RNA, 406 nt
Filed under: uncultured bacterium
Lineage: Bacteria
Description: partial 16S ribosomal RNA
Rfam family: Bacterial small subunit ribosomal RNA
Source: RNAcentral
AUUGAACGCUGGCGGCAGGCCUAACACAUGCAAGUCGAGCGAGCGGCGGACGGGUGAGUAAUGUCUGGGAAACUGCCUGAUGGAGGGGGAUAACUACUGGAAACGGUAGCUAAUACCGCAUACCAUCAGAUGUGCCCAGAUGGGAUUAGCUAGUAGGUGGGGUAACGGCUGACCUAGGCGACGAUCCCUAGCUGGUCUGAGAGGAUGACCAGCCACAAUGGAACGGAGACACGGUCCAGACUCCGAGGGGAGGCAGCAGGGGGGAAUAUUGCACAAUGGGGGCAAGCCUGAUGCAGCCAGGCGGGGUGUGUGAAGAAGGCCUGCGGGUGGUAAAGCACUUUCAGCGGGGAGGCGUUACCCGCAGAAGAAGCACCGGCUAACUCCGUGCCAGCUGCCGCGGUAAUUC